RNAcentral lists this transfer RNA (72 nucleotides) under Camelus ferus (Wild Bactrian camel). It matches the Rfam family "tRNA". From Rfam's summary of the family: Transfer RNA (tRNA) molecules are approximately 80 nucleotides in length. Their secondary structure includes four short double-helical elements and three loops (D, anti-codon, and T loops). Lineage: Eukaryota; Metazoa; Chordata; Mammalia; Artiodactyla; Camelidae. The record is from Rfam by way of RNAcentral.
GAGGGUAUAGCUCAGCAGUAGAGAGCAAGGGUUAGCAUACCCAAGGUCCUGGGUUCAACCCCAGUACCUCCU